RNAcentral lists this transfer RNA (87 nucleotides) under Candidatus Hydrogenedentota bacterium. RNAcentral's name for it is "tRNA-Leu". It matches the Rfam family "tRNA". Rfam says of the family: Transfer RNA (tRNA) molecules are approximately 80 nucleotides in length. Their secondary structure includes four short double-helical elements and three loops (D, anti-codon, and T loops). Further hydrogen bonds mediate the characteristic L-shaped molecular structure. tRNAs have two regions of fundamental functional importance: the anti-codon, which is responsible for specific mRNA codon recognition, and the 3' end, to which the tRNAs corresponding amino acid is attached (by aminoacyl-tRNA synthetases). tRNAs cope with the degeneracy of the genetic code in two manners: having more than one tRNA (with a specific anti-codon) for a particular amino acid; and 'wobble' base-pairing, i.e. permitting non-standard base-pairing at the 3rd anti-codon position. Lineage: Bacteria; Pseudomonadati; Candidatus Hydrogenedentota. The record is from RNAcentral.
GCCCGGAUGGUGGAAUUGGCAGACACGCAAGGCUAAGGACCUUGUGCCAGCAAUGGUGUGGGAGUUCGAGUCUCCCUCCGGGCACCA